UUCAGUCUCUACAUCAAAUAUUUUAUUGAAUUGGAUUUAAACCUGUUCGCCGUCUGCUGAGCCUGGUGAGGUUCCCACGGAGGACAAUACCGAAACCAUUGGAAGUGAGGAUCCCCAGGUUGCCUCAGCGAUGACAACCUGAGAUCUGACGCCUGGACCCCAUCUCCAAAGCCACGUGCACAUGCUCUGAUGGUCAGUGUGGCAAGCUUAAGGCACACCGCACAUUCUGGACGUCCUCACCAUCCAGGGGCAACAGAGAGGUGCAGGGGAAGGUGUCAGAGUCCAGAGAAGCCCGGGAAGCAGCCUGGGCAUCUUUGGCUUCUAAAUCCACUCAAAAGAAAGAGAAACGGGGAACUGAAGAGAUUGCAAUGCAGAAACAAUUGACCCACGAUUGGAGAAAACUGAUGGGUCCUCCGUGAGGAUGUGGCUUUAAGAAAGGAUGCUCGAGGGGCCGGCCGAGUGGCGCGAUGGUUAAGAACUGGCUUGGGAUG
This is a long non-coding RNA of Hipposideros armiger (great roundleaf bat), 491 nucleotides long. RefSeq lists it as uncharacterized. NCBI's taxonomy places the organism in Eukaryota, Metazoa, Chordata, Mammalia, Chiroptera, Hipposideridae. The record is from RefSeq and is a predicted model, not a curated record. The transcript has 3 exons.